Molecule: ribosomal RNA, 1300 nt
Filed under: metagenome
Description: bacterial LSU rRNA
Rfam family: Bacterial large subunit ribosomal RNA
Source: RNAcentral
CGAAGCUCAGGAUGUGCGCCUUUGGCGCACGUGGUAGGAGAGCAUUCCUUGCAGCGUUGAAGCCGUACCGGUAAGGGGCGGUGGAGCGCAAGGAAGAGAGUAUGCCGCAAUUAGUAACGACAAAACGAGUGAAAAACUCGUUCGCCGUAAGACCAAGGGUUCCCGGGCAAUGGUAAUCAUCCCGGGGUGAGUCGGUCCCUAAGGUGAGGCCGCAAGGCGUAGCUGAUGGGAAGCAGGUUAAGAUUCCUGCACCGUGCGCUAAUGCGACGGGGGUGACGCGGAAGGCUAAUCCGUCAGUUCUGACGGAUGAACUGCUCUAAAAUAGCCAGGGGGAUAGGCAAAUCCGCCCCCAGACGGUAAAAUAGGAGCUAGGUAAGGACUUCGGUCCUGCCAAGAGGAUGAUGCCAGCCGCCGAGAAAGAGCCUCUAAGCUUCAGUUAGCGUGCGACCGUACCGCAAACCGACACAGGUGGUCGAGGAGAGUAUCCUCAGGCGCUCGGGAUAAUGGUGGAAAAGGAACUAGGCAAAAUAGCCCCGUAACUUCGGAAAAAGGGGUACCCACUUCGGUGGGUCGCAGUGAAUGGGUCAACCGACUGUUUACCAAAAACACAGCACUCUGCCAAGUCUCUCAAGACGACGUAUAGGGUGUGACGCCUGCCCGGUGCCGGAAGGUUAAGGGGAGAAGUUAGCCGCAAGGCGACGCUUUGAACCGAAGCCCCGGUAAACGGCGGCCGUAACUAUAACGGUCCUAAGGUAGCGAAAUUCCUUGUCGGGUAAGUUCCGACCUGCACGAAUGGCGUAACGAGUUGACCGCUGUCUCUUCCAUCACCCCGGUGAAGUUGAGCUCCGAGUGAAGACGCUCGGUACCCGCAGCAAGACGGAAAGACCCUAUGCACCUUCACUAUAACCUGUCAUUGGUGCCAGACACGAAAUGUAGAGGAUAGGCAGGAGGCUUGGAAGCGGGGACGCCAGUUCCCGUGGAGCCGACCUUGGAAUACUGCCCUUUUCGUGUUUAGCAUCUAACUCCGGAGACUGAAGCGUCCCGGGGGACCGUGGCAGGCGGGUAGUUUGACUGGGGCGGUCGCCUCCUAAAAAGUAACGGAGGCUCGCAAAGGUCCCCUCAGCACGGUCGGCAAUCGUGCGCAGAGUGUAAUCGCAGAAGGGGGCUUGACUGAGAGACCUACAAGUCGAUCAGACGCGAAAGCGGCGAUAGUGAUCCGGCGGUUCCAGUGUGGAAUGGCCGUCGCUCAUAGGAUAAAAGGUACGCUAGGGAUAACAGGCUGAUCUCCCCCAAGAGUCCA